GGAGGUGUAGCUCAGUGGUAGAGAGAGUGCUUAGCAUGCACAAGGUCCUGAGUUCAAUCCCUGGUACCUCCA
Molecule: transfer RNA, 72 nt
Filed under: Camelus bactrianus (Bactrian camel)
Lineage: Eukaryota; Metazoa; Chordata; Mammalia; Artiodactyla; Camelidae
Also listed under: 1 other name
Rfam family: tRNA
About the family: Transfer RNA (tRNA) molecules are approximately 80 nucleotides in length. Their secondary structure includes four short double-helical elements and three loops (D, anti-codon, and T loops).
Source: Rfam by way of RNAcentral